AUUGAACGCUGGCGGCAGGCCUAACACAUGCAAGUCGAGCGGAUGAAGGGAGCUUGCUCCUGGAUUCAGCGGCGGACGGGUGAGUAAUGCCUAGGUAUCUGCCUGGUCUUGGGGGAUAACGUCCGGUAACGGGCGCUAAUACCGCAUACGUCCUGAUGGUGAAAGUGGGGGUUCUUCGGACCUCACGCUUUCAGAUGAUCCUAGGUCGGAUUUGCUAGUUGGUGGGGUAAAGGCCUACCAAGGCGACGAUCCGUAACUGGUGUGAGAGGAUGAUCAGUCACACUGGAACUGAGACACGGUCCAGACUCCUACGGGAGGCAGCAGUGGGGAAUAUUGGGCAAUGGGCGAAAGCCUGAUCCAGCCAGGCCGCGUGUGUGAAGAAGGUCUUCGGAUUGUAAAGCACUUUAAGUAGGGAGGAAGGGCAGUAAGAUAAUACCUUGAUGUUUUGACGUUACCAAAAGAAAAAGCACCGGCUAACUACGUG
This 484-nucleotide ribosomal RNA is filed under the name uncultured bacterium. Its description in RNAcentral is "partial 16S ribosomal RNA". It matches the Rfam family "Bacterial small subunit ribosomal RNA", at positions 30 to 507 of the family's 1533-position model. The record is from RNAcentral.